GAUGAACGCUGGCGGCGUGCCUAAUACAUGCAAGUCGAGCGAACAGACGAGGAGCUUGCUCCUCUGACGUUAGCGGCGGAUGGGUGAGUAACACGUGGAUAACCUACCUAUAAGACUGGGAUAACUUCGGGAAACCGGAGCUAAUACCGGAUAAUAUAUUGAACCGCAUGGUUCAAUAGUGAAAGACGGUUUUGCUGUCACUUAUAGAUGGAUCCGCGCCGCAUUAGCUAGUUGGUAAGGUAACGGCUUACCAAGGCAACGAUGCGUAGCCGACCUGAGAGGGUGAUCGGCCACACUGGAACUGAGACACGGUCCAGACUCCUACGGGAGGCAGCAGUAGGGAAUCUUCCGCAAUGGGCGAAAGCCUGACGGAGCAACGCCGCGUGAGUGAUGAAGGUCUUCGGAUCGUAAAACUCUGUUAUUAGGGAAGAACAAAUGUGUAGGUAACUAUGCACGUCUUGACGGUACCUAAUCAGAAAGCCACGGCUAACUACGUG
This 497-nucleotide ribosomal RNA is filed under the name uncultured bacterium. RNAcentral describes it as "partial 16S ribosomal RNA". It matches the Rfam family "Bacterial small subunit ribosomal RNA", at positions 28 to 507 of the family's 1533-position model. The record is from RNAcentral.